CGGGCAGGUGGCGCGGGAGGGCGAGGGGUGGCAUGUGCCCGCCCGGGCACCGGGUCAUCACGUGGUGUCGGGGUUCGAGAUCGAGCCGCCCGACC
RNAcentral lists this transfer RNA (95 nucleotides) under Nonomuraea cavernae. Its description in RNAcentral is "tRNA-Thr". Lineage: Bacteria; Bacillati; Actinomycetota; Actinomycetes; Streptosporangiales; Streptosporangiaceae. The record is from RNAcentral.